This 1557-nucleotide long non-coding RNA is filed under the name Medicago truncatula (barrel medic). RNAcentral describes it as "long non-coding RNA (MTRU_LNC002112)". Lineage: Eukaryota; Viridiplantae; Streptophyta; Magnoliopsida; Fabales; Fabaceae. The record is from RNAcentral.
CUGGUGUCGUCAUCAGUUUCAGAAGCAUAUCCUUCAUUCUCUUCAUUAUUUGUCCCGUGUAGAAUAUCUUCCUGAUCUUCAUUGUCUAAUGCAGUGUUGGCUUCAACACUUUUCUUUCCAACAUCUUCUCCUGUCCAACGAGAAGCAACAAGCCUGCCUAAUUCUUCCUUUGACAAUCCAUCAGUAUUCUCAGAUGCUUCUUUCCCCUAAAGAUAUGUAUAUACCCACAAAGAGAAAAGAAAAAACAUAAAUGAAAAGUGGGGGAAAAUUGUGAAUUUAUUUCUGAACUAAACUAUUAUACAUAACUUCAAGCAAUCUAUCUGUUCAUAUAGGAAAAAAAGAUUUCCCUUGUGAGCAGGAGAUAUCAGAAGUGAAUACGAGUUCCACAAGGCACAAAGUUUGAUUUUUGAACGCCGCCAAAAUUUGAUAUUUUUAUACUUAUAUUCGAGACCGCAAGGAGUACAAGGUUUAAGUACAGAAGAGGAAGAAAAGAAAGAAGAAUAACAAUUAAUGUUUCCAUGAUUGUUUGGUGGCUGAACAAUCCUGUUCCUAUCCCUGAAUUCAAUUCGAUAGGAUUGGGUGGGAUUGUGCCAGCUCAUGGAAACCGUGGGAAACAGAGAUACUCCAACAUUUGUUUGGUCCCCAUUUUCCAGUUGGUGGAGCAGGUAAUCAAUUCAAAAAACCUAUCCCUAGCACAUUAUCAAUAAAAUUCCCUAAUCUGAAACCUGAUAGACCUGAGACUAUUGUCCUAUUUUGUUGGCGUGAGACCUGCGAUGCUACCUGAAACCUUGGUGCAGUGGACUUGUGGUGCUGCAAGUAAAAGCUCGGUGAGUCUCAAACCUUGACUCUGCAUCUUCGAGUGAUGUGACCUGCGAGUGGCUCGUAUUUAAGUGCUUUGUGGUGUGUGGGUAAUGUAUGUAGACCGACCGACUCUCUUGUUGUGUUUGAGUGCUAUAUUUAUUUGUUUUUCGUUUAGCUCUGUUGGCCGGGAGCAAAUUAAUAGGGCUGUAUGACCUUUAUUUGUGAUUGGUGUUUAUUUAUUUUAAAUUGGAGUUUAUUUAUAUAAAAACACUGAUAGGAUAAUGAGGAGUUUGUUAUGAUAUGAGAUAAGGAGCAGUUAGUAACAAUAUAGGAUAAUGAGUAGUAGUUAGAGAAGUUAGUUGGUAUUGAUUAGUUAAAAAAGUUUCAUGUACAAAUAGGAGAAUACAUGAAUAGAGGAGGGGAUUCAUUCAGAUUUGUAAACUUUUGUGAAUAGAGUAAUCUGUCUAUUGUAGAAGGGGAAAUCCUAGGAGGGUAUAUUUCUCCCCUAUUAACUCUCUAUCUUUUGUUCUAAAUCUUUCAAUAAAAUAGUUAUUUAUUUUGAGUUCAAUUUCUUGGUUCCUAACACACUCACAAUGGUAAUUUUCCAUGAAGGAAGACAGAUAAUUCCAUGAUAUGUUUUUUUCUGCUAAUAAGUUUUUCGAUAUUGAGGAUAUCUUUGUUGUAGGUGUAAUGUAUAUAAAAGGAUAAGGAUUAGUUUUUGUCGUCGUAUCGUGCAUCCGUUUUAGCUAAAUACAC